UUAGGGCUUCAUUCUUAGCAGUCCCCUCACUCCUUCAUUUUCUCAUUCCUUCUUCAAAGAUCUCCAGUUGCAGCUUCUGCAUCGCCAGUGCCAAGACAGCUACCUCGUCACCGCCAUCGUAGCCACCACUAGGACUACGAUCGAGGAACCCAGUUGUAGUCUCUGCCCUAUUGCUGUCAAGGUCAACCACCACCUUGUCAUCGUCGUAGCUUUUGUGACCCAGGUGAUAAUGGACAACAAACGUAUAUGACAUGAUGAAGAAACUGAUGCAUUUGUUGGCUUCAUGAAGGAGCUCGUUGUAGAUGGUCAGAAGGCUGAUUAUGGUCAAUUUAAGCCUAGAAUUUUUGAGAAACUAACUUUGAAAAUGUUGGAGGCCUUCCCUACGUGUAUCCUUACCACCAAACAUUGCAAGAAUAAGCAUAAGCUUGGAGAAGUAUCACUACGCUUCUAAAAUGCUUGCAUGUAGUGGAUUUGGCUAGAAUUCUGACACAAAUAGAAAACUUCUUAUUACAGACAGAUUUAAUCUUCAUUA
This is a non-coding RNA of Arachis ipaensis, 532 nucleotides long. Lineage: Eukaryota; Viridiplantae; Streptophyta; Magnoliopsida; Fabales; Fabaceae. The record is from RefSeq and is a predicted model, not a curated record.